This is a non-coding RNA of Meleagris gallopavo (turkey), 1180 nucleotides long. The record is from RefSeq and is a predicted model, not a curated record. Lineage: Eukaryota; Metazoa; Chordata; Aves; Galliformes; Phasianidae.
CAGCCAUAGAGCAAAGAAAAUGAAUAACGUGAAUGACUGCCAAGGGAAGUUUAUAGCUGGAAGACCUGCGAUAGCCUGCAUAUUUUAAUCCCAGUCUGUCCCUGAUGCCAAUUGGUGACUGUAUGAAAACUGCUGAGUCAUGGCCUGAAGCUCUGAUGGAUCACCUGAGGCAGCGAUGAGUCAGCAAUGAGCACAGCUGCAGGCAACUCACCUGUGCUGCAGGAAGGGGCGGAGCCUGGCUGCACCGCGCCUGGACCCAUUUAAGGACUGGAUGCGAGUGGGGAAGGAGCUCUGCUGGAGAUCCGCUCUGCUGCAGUUUGGUGACUGAGCCCAGGAUGCAGAUAGGGGGAGAGGAGCAGCAUUCCUGGAAGACCUGGAGUACAGAGGAGGGAAGGCGGAGCUUCUGGCUGGAUCAAAGCAGAGAAAAAGCUCUGCUUUGGGACCCACCUGUCUGAAAUGAGAAGUUCACAGCCAAAGAUGCUCUGCGCCUUCUGAGAUGAACCCCAUUUCCUCUGUAAGGCUGGAGAUCCUGGAAUGAAAAGCAGCACCUAAAGAAAGAUAAGAAACAACAGGAAUAAGAGAAGGCAGCCAGGAAAACGUGCAGGGAAAGCGAUGGGAGGGGAAAGGAGCCCCAAAGCUGCGCAAGGAGAGAGUGGUGCGGCUCAAAGGAGGUGGGGGGGUGGUGGGGCCUGUUCAGAACCCCGGUCCCCUCAGGAGCCCAGAAGUGCCUCAGAGCCCCACAGCCCCUCUGUCACGGCUUUAUAGUUCUGCUAUUGGCAUUCCACAUCAUUCCUCAUCAAGCACAGGCAAGUUAAGAGGAAAUAAUCCAGCCCAAAGGAUUGGAAACCUCCUACGUGGAGGGGGAUAAGAGGAGCAGAGUAACUGCGGAUGCCAGGGGAUUCACGGUCAGAGAGGAAGAUCCCUCCAGGUCGAAAGGCUUGUGGUUUGUGGUUUUCAGACACUUCCGUGCAGAAUUCUCCACAAAAACAUGACGCUUUCUCCCAGAAAUACCAAUUCCAACCCAAAAAUACGUUUUCUCCCCCAAAAAUGAGUUUUCCUCUGAGAAAUACCUGUUUGUCCCCAAAACUAUGACUUAUUCUCCCAGACACACAGGUUUAUGCCCCACAAAUAUGACAUUUUUAAAUAGAACUACAGUUUAAUCCCUAAACCGUGACAUUUC